This 1431-nucleotide ribosomal RNA is filed under the name Triticum aestivum (bread wheat). Its description in RNAcentral is "partial small subunit ribosomal RNA". Lineage: Eukaryota; Viridiplantae; Streptophyta; Magnoliopsida; Poales; Poaceae. The record is from RNAcentral.
AUGUAUCCGGAGGGCUCCAUAAUCUUCAAACAUGACCUGGUGAAGCAAUGGGUGGCUGAAAGGUUUAUUUCUACAAGUGAAGGGCAAGACACAAAGGAAGUUGCAGGGAUGUAUUUCGAUGAGCUUGUUGAUAGAAGAUUCAUCCAGUCCAUGUAUAUGAACUUCAACAAUGAGGUGGUGUCCUGCACAGUGCAUGACGUGGUACAUGAUCUUAUUGCACACAAGUCUGCAGAAGAGAAUUUCGUCGUGGUAGUAGAUUACAAUCAAAAGAAUUUGGCACUUUCUCAUAUNNUCCAUCGACUGUCUCUCCAACUUGGUGAUGCAAAAAAUGCCAAGACACCAGCAAACAUCAGAAAGUCACAAGUACGGUCACUUGGAAUUUUUGGAGCAUCGGAGUGUAUGCCUUGUAUUGGAGAUUUCAAGCUUAUUCGUGUUCUAAACCUUCAAUUGUCUGGCCAUCAUCAUGGUGACCAAGACCAGGCCAUCGACCUCACUGGGAUAUCAGAAUUGUUCCAUUUGACAUAUUUGAAGAUUGCUUGUGAUGUCUGCAUAAAACUGCCAAGCCAUAUGAGAGGGCUUCAAUGUCUGGAAACACUGGAUGUCAAGGAUACAACAAGAGGCACUCAUGUUCCAUGGGAUAUUAUAUAUCUCCCACACUUGUUGCACCUCAGUCUUCCAGCUCACUCAAAUCUGCUGGAUUGGUCCGUCAAUCCACCUGGGAGCCUUGGCAUGUUGAGCCACCUGCAUGAUAUUUAUAUUUCUACGCCGCCUUCUUCCGAUUACUACCAUCUGGAGAGAAGCAUGGAAGCUCUGGAUUCUUUAAUAUCUGAACAUGGCAGCCUGAAAACUAUACAAGUGGUGGCUCACAGAUCCUUGGUUGGGUGUGGUGACGCUUCAAAAGCCAGAGUUGGCUGGUAUUUCGUCAAACCUCCCCACCAUCUCCGGAGAUUUGAGCUCUCACCACACAAACCCGUCGUAUUUUGCCAUCUGGAUGUGUGGAUGAAACAACUUGGCAACCUAUGCAUUCUGAAGAUUGCAGUGGAUGGACUGUCAGUAAAUGAUGUUCGUAUUCUUAAAGGGUUGCGUUGCCUCACUGCUCUGUCGUUGUGUGUGGAGAAGUCGCCUGAUAUUAAGAUAAUCUUUGGCACGGCUGCUGGAUUCACAACUCUCAAGUACUUGAAGCUGAGGUUCCUGAGUGAAAUAGCUUGGCUAAGAUUUGAGAUGGACGCAAUGCCUAAUCUCCGGAAGCUCAGGCUUGUUUUUGACGCCAUCCUCCAAAUGGACCAACGACUUGAACUUUUUUCGGAGUCUGAGCAGUGGAAACAAUAUCGACAUGGUACUGCAUUAAUCAGCAUCGAGCAUAUAACAGGCCUUACAGAGGUCUCCGCAAAAUUUGUGGGUGCAGCUGCUGAUCUAGAUUAUUCACUCUAA